CCCUAUAAUAGAUCCCAUAGAAGUAGCAACAACAGAUGAUUCCUUUGGACAGACGGACAGCAGUGGAACAUAAGCACAGCUGCCCUGUGCAAAAGAAACAAAGAAACAGUCUUCUGAUGAGUCUGAUUCAGAUUCUAAAUUUGAGGAUGAACCAACGGAGGAAGAAAACCGGAAUGAGACAGCCAGUACAGAAAUUCAAGAGGAGAUGCAACCAAGUGGAUCCAUGGGAAAACUGAGGCCCAAACCUGCUUAUUUGAGUUCAAAACCAAAAAGUCAAAAGCAGAGUCUUUUUACUGCAAUCUCGGACAACUGGACUCGGAGCCAGCAGAUAAGAUCCUCCCGCUUUGAGAAAAGUGUCCUCUGUAACACCGUGAUGCUAUUGUGCACCAUGCUUUCUUCUCUCAUCUGGAAUUUUGUCUGCCAGUUGCUCCAGAUCUCUAAUGUCCUGAAGAUUCAACUGCUGCCAACUUCUCUGAUUAUCUACGUGGUUCAGCUUUUCAUUUUUCUGGCUGAAAAAGUUGUGAAAAUCCUGGGCUCCUUGACGCUAGAAACCAGAGGGCUGUCAGCUUCUAUCCUAGGGAGGAAACAACCCACCUUUUCAGCACACCUGACAAGCUGAUGUAAGGUUAGAUCACACCCCAGAAAGGCAGUCAGCAGCAGCUUUGUUCAACCAGUCGAUGGGACCGGAAGAAAGCUGGAGGGACUGGGACAAGCCAAGGUUUUGUGCCAUCACUGUUGAUCCAGUGAUAAGGCUAUAACCAGAACGGCUGUUUGCUCCUUGCACUGAUGCACGCGUUUCACUAACUUUUAAAAAGAGGAGCUAACGAUAGGAAGUCACAUUCCAAAAAGCACAUUGCUGCUUGAGAACGCCUUUGUCUCCGCUUCUCAUGUGAAGUAAGGGUGGAAAGACUGUGUAAGUUACACCAACCUGUGCUAAUUAUGAAGCACGUCUUGUUUGUGUUUACUUGCCUUUCCCUCCCCAUCCCCUGAAGUCUGCACGUCCAAAUAUUUGCACGUCCAAAUAUUUGUCCAGAAUAGCAUGCUUUUAAAUAAAACUUGUUUACCCCUUUAUUUUUGCA
RNAcentral lists this long non-coding RNA (1079 nucleotides) under Struthio camelus australis. RNAcentral's name for it is "lncRNA (ENSSCUG00000005867.1)". The record is from RNAcentral. Lineage: Eukaryota; Metazoa; Chordata; Aves; Struthioniformes; Struthionidae.